CGCUGGCGGCAGGCCUAACACAUGCAAGUCGAGCGGUAGCACAGAGAGCUUGCUCUCGGGUGACGAGCGGCGGACGGGUGAGUAAUGUCUGGGAAACUGCCUGAUGGAGGGGGAUAACUACUGGAAACGGUAGCUAAUACCGCAUAAUGUCGCAAGACCAAAGUGGGGGACCUUCGGGCCUCAUGCCAUCAGAUGUGCCCAGAUGGGAUUAGCUAGUAGGUGGGGUAACGGCUCACCUAGGCGACGAUCCCUAGCUGGUCUGAGAGGAUGACCAGCCACACUGGAACUGAGACACGGUCCAGACUCCUACGGGAGGCAGCAGUGGGGAAUAUUGCACAAUGGGCGCAAGCCUGAUGCAGCCAUGCCGCGUGUGUGAAGAAGGCCUUCGGGUUGUAAAGCACUUUCAGCGGGGAGGAAGGCGUUAAGGUUAAUAACCUUGGCGAUUGACGUUACCCGCAGAAGAAGCACCGGCUAACUCCGUGCCAGCAGCCGCGGUAAUACGGAGGGUGCAAGCGUUAAUCGGAAUUACUGGGCGUAAAGCGCACGCAGGCGGUCUGUCAAGUCGGAUGUGAAAUCCCCGGGCUCAACCUGGGAACUGCAUUCGAAACUGGCAGGCUAGAGUCUUGUAGAGGGGGGUAGAAUUCCAGGUGUAGCGGUGAAAUGCGUAGAGAUCUGGAGGAAUACCGGUGGCGAAGGCGGCCCCCUGGACAAAGACUGACGCUCAGGUGCGAAAGCGUGGGGAGCAAAACGGAUUAGAUACCCUGGUAGUCCACGCCGUAAACGAUGUCGAUUUGGAGGUUGUGCCCUUGAGGCGUGGCUUCCGGAGCUAACGCGUUAAAUCGACCGCCUGGGGAGUACGGCCGCAAGGUUAAAACUCAAAUGAAUUGACGGGGGCCCGCACAAGCGGUGGAGCAUGUGGUUUAAUUCGAUGCAACGCGAAGAACCUUACCUGGUCUUGACAUCCACAGAACUUUCCAGAGAUGGAUUGGUGCCUUCGGGAACUGUGAGACAGGUGCUGCAUGGCUGUCGUCAGCUCGUGUUGUGAAAUGUUGGGUUAAGUCCCGCAACGAGCGCAACCCUUAUCCUUUGUUGCCAGCGGUUAGGCCGGGAACUCAAAGGAGACUGCCAGUGAUAAACUGGAGGAAGGUGGGGAUGACGUCAAGUCAUCAUGGCCCUUACGACCAGGGCUACACACGUGCUACAAUGGCAUAUACAAAGAGAAGCGACCUCGCGAGAGCAAGCGGACCUCAUAAAGUAUGUCGUAGUCCGGAUUGGAGUCUGCAACUCGACUCCAUGAAGUCGGAAUCGCUAGUAAUCGUAGAUCAGAAUGCUACGGUGAAUACGUUCCCGGGCCUUGUACACACCGCCCGUCACACCAUGGGAGUGGGUUGCAAAAGAAGUAA
Molecule: ribosomal RNA, 1403 nt
Filed under: uncultured organism
Description: SSU rRNA
Rfam family: Bacterial small subunit ribosomal RNA
Source: RNAcentral